GUAGGGGGCAAACGUUGCUCGGAAUUACUGGGCGUAAAGGGUGUGUAAACAACUGAACAAGUCUUAAAUGAAAUCCCGAAACCCACCCCCAAAACUGUCUUCGAUACCACCCAGCUUGAGAAUGGUUGAGGAGAACGGAAUUCCCGGUGGAGCGGUGAAAUGCGUAGAUAUCGGGAGGAACACCAGAGGCGAAGGCGGUUCUCUGGGCCAUUCCUGACACUGAGACACGAAAGCUAGGGGAGCAAACGGGAUUAGAUACCCCGGUAUCCUAGCCGUAAACGAUGGGCACUAGAUGUUUUCCGCUUUAUGUGGGAGUGUCGUAGCUAACGCAUUAAGUGCCCCCGCCCAAAGAGUACGGUCGCAAGGCUG
This 369-nucleotide ribosomal RNA is filed under the name uncultured organism. Its description in RNAcentral is "partial 16S ribosomal RNA". It matches the Rfam family "Bacterial small subunit ribosomal RNA", at positions 527 to 896 of the family's 1533-position model. The record is from RNAcentral.